UUUCCGUAGGUGAACCUGCGGAAGGAUCAUUACAUUCAGUAGCCUAGCUACUUGUUUAUACCCUUGUUUUUUGCGUACCUAUUGUUUCCUCGGUGGGCUUGCCUGCCGGUUGGACAACACUAUAACCAUUUUAAAUCUUCAAUCAGCGUCUGAAUUAUACAUAAUAAUUACAACUUUCAACAACGGAUCUCUUGGUUCUGGCAUCGAUGAAGAACGCAGC
Molecule: unclassified non-coding RNA, 220 nt
Filed under: uncultured fungus
Lineage: Eukaryota; Fungi
Description: sequence contains ITS1, 5.8S rRNA gene
Rfam family: 5.8S ribosomal RNA (bases 172-220)
Source: RNAcentral